Molecule: ribosomal RNA, 460 nt
Filed under: uncultured bacterium
Lineage: Bacteria
Description: partial 16S ribosomal RNA
Rfam family: Bacterial small subunit ribosomal RNA
Source: RNAcentral
CCUACGGGAGGCAGCAGUGAGGAAUAUUGGUCAAUGGACGAGAGUCUGAACCAGCCAAGUAGCGUGAAGGAUGACUGCCCUAUGGGUUGUAAACUUCUUUUAUAAAGGAAUAAAACGAGGCACGUGUGCCUUUUUGCAUGUACUUUAUGAAUAAGGAUCGGCUAACUCCGUGCCAGCAGCCGCGGUAAUACGGAGGAUCCGAGCGUUAUCCGGAUUUAUUGGGUUUAAAGGGAGCGUAGAUGGGUUGUUAAGUCAGUUGUGAAAGUUUGCGGCUCAACCGUAAAAUUGCAAUUGAUACUGGCAGUCGUGAGUACAGUUGAGGUAGGCGGAAUUCGUGGUGUAGCGGUGAAAUGCUUAGAUAUCACGAAGAACCCCGAGUGCGAAGGCAGCUUACUAACCUGUGACUGACAUUGAUGCUCGAAAGUGUGGGUAUCAAACAGGAUUAGAUACCCGGGUAGUC